UCAGGGUGCAAAGCAUAAAUAAAUAAGCCCGGGUUCCCCGACAACAUCAAGAGGAGCCCCCGGGGUGGGUAUUGGGUCGGAAUCUUCAGUAGAAAGUAUCAGGUCGACAAGAUCUCGGAAUCUUUACCAGUUGGUACAAAUGGCAAAGAGGUGAUGCCGACGGGCCAAGUUUCUGAACAUGGACGGGCAAUUGCACCUCUUCGACUACCGAACUGCGGAGAAAUUUGGUUUCGUAUCGAACGACGGAUUUUCGGAAACAGGGCAGGAGCCACAUAAAAGGAUUUUUUCUGUAAUUUUAUGGUCCAGAAUAAAUCAGGGCCCAGUCCAGACUUUCUGGAGAUAAAUCGACAUCGCCCUUUCAGUAUAAAGCAGUUUUGUCCUU
Punica granatum (pomegranate) is the source of this 382-nucleotide non-coding RNA. Lineage: Eukaryota; Viridiplantae; Streptophyta; Magnoliopsida; Myrtales; Lythraceae. The record is from RefSeq and is a predicted model, not a curated record.